RNAcentral lists this ribosomal RNA (447 nucleotides) under uncultured bacterium. RNAcentral's name for it is "partial 16S ribosomal RNA". It matches the Rfam family "Bacterial small subunit ribosomal RNA", at positions 29 to 523 of the family's 1533-position model. The record is from RNAcentral.
AGCGAACGCUGGCGGCAGGCUUAACACAUGCAAGUCGAACGCCCCGCAAGGGGAGUGGCAGACGGGUGAGUAACACGUGGGAACGUACCCUUUGGUUCGGAAUAACUUGGGGAAACUCAAGCUAAAACCGGAUAAGCCCUUAUGGGGAAAGGUUUACUGCCGAAGGAUCGGCCCGCGUCUGAUUAGCUAGUUGGUGAGGUAAUGGCUCGCCAAGGCGACGAUCAGUAGCUGGUCUGAGAGGAUGAUCAGCCACACUGGGACUGAGACACGGCCCAGACUCCUACGGGAGGCAGCAGUGGGAAAUAUUGGACAAUGGGGGCAACCCUGAUCCAGCCAUGCCGCGUGAGUGAUGAAGGCCUUAGGGUUGUAAAGCUCUUUUACCGGGGACGAUAAUGACUGUACCGGGAGAAUAAGCCCCGGCUAACUUCGUGCCAGCCGCCGCGGUAA